RNAcentral lists this ribosomal RNA (465 nucleotides) under uncultured bacterium. RNAcentral's name for it is "partial 16S ribosomal RNA". It matches the Rfam family "Bacterial small subunit ribosomal RNA", at positions 28 to 507 of the family's 1533-position model. The record is from RNAcentral.
GACGAACGCUGGCGGCGUGCUUAACACAUGCAAGUCGAACGGAAAGGCCCUGCUUGCAGGGUACUCGAGUGGCGAACGGGUGAGUAACACGUGGGUGAUCUGCCCUGCACUUCGGGAUAAGCCUGGGAAACUGGGUCUAAUACCGGAUAGGAGCCAUUUUUAGUGUGAUGGUUGGAAAGUUUUUUCGGUGUAGGAUGAGCUCGCGGCCUAUCAGCUUGUUGGUGGGGUAAUGGCCUACCAAGGCGGCGACGGGUAGCCGGCCUGAGAGGGUGGACGGCCACAGGGAGACGGAGUGGCGGCCCAACUCCGGAAGGGGGGGAGAAGGGGGGAAGUUUGACAAAGGGGCGCAACGUGGGUGAAGCGACCCCGCGGGGGGGAUGACGCCGUGGGGGUUGUAAACCCCUUCCGUGAGGAAAGACGCUUUUGGUGACGGUACCUAAAUAAGAAGCACCGGCUAACUACGGG